AUGAAGUUUGUGGCACAGUUCAAAAGGAUGGUCAGUCCAAAGCAGGAACCAAUGAAAAAAAACAUUGUUCAUGAAGGAGCAGGCGGUCAUUAUAAAUGGGAGAACAAAAACAGAAAUAAUCCCCAAAUAAGGGAAAGAAUGGGAUCUAUCAUGUGAAUGAGCCUGGUAAACCUGAGAUUGCCACCACCAUCAAGGUUAACCUGCCAAAUCAGGUAGUAACAAGUAAGUAAAUUAUUGCUCAAGAAUUAUGCAGGUGAUCAUCAUGUAUGGUGAGCUUGUACUUUAUCCUAUUUCUUCAUUACAAUUAGCUAUGAAUAUAGUAAAAUUAAGAAGAAUUGAGUGGAUGCUGCUACAAAGGGGACAAUAGUGUAGAACAUACCUGCUAUUCCAUUUUUAAAGGUCUGAAACAAUGGGUAUCUCUAUAUAUAGUAAUCAGUUACAACAUCUUGAUUAUUGUCACUCAUUCCCCUCCUCUCCUCACAUUAGUGAUGGGCCCUUACUCUCCAUUUGACUAUGAGUUAAUCACAUAAUUUCAGGGGGUUUCAGUUUUCUCAUUAGUAAAAAUUAUGUUGAUCAGAUCACAUGUUCUUUC
Molecule: long non-coding RNA, 592 nt
Filed under: Phascolarctos cinereus (koala)
Lineage: Eukaryota; Metazoa; Chordata; Mammalia; Diprotodontia; Phascolarctidae
Description: lncRNA (ENSPCIG00000034763.1)
Source: RNAcentral